AGAGGUCUAGUUUGGAGCCUAGGGGACACAUACAAGUUUGCCUGCGUAUAAAGCCCUUUACAGCACUGGAAAGAGCAAAUGGAUCACAGGGGUGUGUUUCACUUGAGGACUCAACAAGCGUUAUACUGAAACCCCCUAAGAGCUCCUGGAGUCGACCGAUUGAGAAAACUGCAGGACAGGCAAUACAGAAAUUCACCUUUUCACGAGUGUUUGGACCUGAAGCAACUCAAGAAGAAUUCUUUGAAGGUACAGUGAAGCAGCCAGUGCUAGACUUCCUAGAAGGAUGUAAUCACCUUGUUUUUACGUAUGGUGUUAGAAAUGCUGGGAAAACCUACGCAU
Molecule: long non-coding RNA, 339 nt
Organism: Centrocercus urophasianus (Greater sage-grouse)
Lineage: Eukaryota; Metazoa; Chordata; Aves; Galliformes; Phasianidae
Exons: 3
Source: RefSeq, a predicted model, not a curated record